GGAAGGACAAGAUGGAGUUUUCAGCAAAGAGGCUAAGAAAAUACUAUAAAAACAUGUCUCACAACACUCUUUGAGAAAAACUCCAGAGAUCGCUUGGAUGUUCCUUCCAGCUCCUGAACCAAGCGGGCAGGCUAUUUCCGGUUGCUGCCCUCACUGUGAGCAGAAAAAGUCUGCUGACCCCGGACCCUGGAAUCAAGUCCUUCACACUAAGAUACCAAACUUCACAAAGAUAAAUCUUUUUAUGGCAUAUAGAAGAUUUUCCCUCUGAAGUUCCUGUGAGCACUGUUAUUUAUAGUGCUAUGAAUAGUAAAGCACUAUAAAGAAGCUCCCGCCAGAAAGUAGCACCAGCAAGCUCAUGGUGCAGUCUUACUUCUGGACUUGGUUCUCACCAGCAUUAUUAGGUAGACUUCGCAAGACUUUGAAGUGGCUGCUAUACAAAAUGGCAAGAAGAACAUUUGGCAAAGGAGUGAUGAUCACUCCUAAUGUUCAUAUUUGUUCAGGAUAUUACCUCCCAAAAUGUUCUCCAAAACAUUCUUUUGUUUUAUCCUCAAGACAAUCCGUUGACGUGAAAAUCGUCAU
This is a long non-coding RNA of Phacochoerus africanus (Common warthog), 579 nucleotides long. RefSeq lists it as uncharacterized. The transcript is spliced from 3 exons. NCBI's taxonomy places the organism in Eukaryota, Metazoa, Chordata, Mammalia, Artiodactyla, Suidae. The record is from RefSeq and is a predicted model, not a curated record.